Molecule: unclassified non-coding RNA, 394 nt
Filed under: soil metagenome
Description: partial contains 5.8S ribosomal RNA, internal transcribed spacer 2, and large subunit ribosomal RNA
Rfam family: 5.8S ribosomal RNA (bases 1-120)
Source: RNAcentral
GAUGAAGAACGUAGCGAAAUGCGAUAAGUAAUGUGAAUUGCAGAAUUCAGUGAAUCAUCAAAUCUUUGAACGCAUCUUGCGCUCCUUGGUAUUCCGAGGAGCAUGCCUGUUUGAGUGUCAUUCAACUUGUCAACCACUUUGGAAGUUGUUUUUCAAUGUGGCUUGGAUGUGGGGGAUUUGCAGGCUUUUCUUCUGUCUGCUCUCCUGAAAUGCAUUAGUGGUGUCUUAAAGGGUUCACAACCACAGGUGUGAUAAAUUAUCUAUGCCUUUGGUAUGAACAGAACUGUGCUGCUUCUAAAUGAAAUGAGCCCUUGCAGGCUCUUUCUUUUGAUGAAUUUGACCCCAAAUCAGGUAGGACUACCCGCUGAACUUAAGCAUAUCAAUAAGCGGAGGA